Molecule: ribosomal RNA, 545 nt
Filed under: Ramichloridium apiculatum
Lineage: Eukaryota; Fungi; Ascomycota; Dothideomycetes; Mycosphaerellales; Dissoconiaceae
Description: LSU rRNA
Rfam family: Eukaryotic large subunit ribosomal RNA
Source: RNAcentral
CUCUACGUAGCUCCUUCGACGAGUCGAGUUGUUUGGGAAUGCAGCUCUAAAUGGGAGGUAAAUUUCUUCUAAAGCUAAAUACCGGCCAGAGACCGAUAGCGCACAAGUAGAGUGAUCGAAAGAUGAAAAGCACUUUGGAAAGAGAGUUAAACAGCACGUGAAAUUGUUGAAAGGGAAGCGCUUGCAACCAGACUUGUCCGCGGUGUUCCGCCGGUCUUCUGACCGGUCUACUCGCCGCGGGCAGGCCAUCAUCGUCUGGGGCCGCCGGAGAAACCGUCAGGAAUGUAGCUCCCUCGGGAGUGUUAUAGCCUGGCGACAUGCGGCGCGCCCCGGGCGAGGUCCGCGCACUGCAAGGAUGAUGGCGUAAUGGUUGUCAGCGGCCCGUCUUGAAACACGGACCAAGGAGUCUAACAUCUAUGCGAGUGUUCGGGUGUCAAACCCCUACGCGUAAUGAAAGUGAACGGAGGUGGGAGCUUCGGCGCACCAUCGACCGAUCCUGAUGUCCUCGGAUGGAUUUGAGUAAGAGCAUAGCUGUUGGGACCCGA